This 703-nucleotide ribosomal RNA is filed under the name uncultured Actinomycetales bacterium. RNAcentral describes it as "bacterial SSU rRNA". It matches the Rfam family "Bacterial small subunit ribosomal RNA", at positions 62 to 778 of the family's 1533-position model. The record is from RNAcentral. Lineage: Bacteria; Bacillati; Actinomycetota; Actinomycetes; Actinomycetales.
UCGAACGGAAAGGCCCUGCUUGCAGGGUACUCGAGUGGCGAACGGGUGAGUAACACGUGGGUGAUCUGCCCUGCACUUCGGGAUAAGCUUGGGAAACUGGGUCUAAUACCGGAUAGGAACCAUCUUUAGUGUGGUGGUUGGAAAGUUUUUUCGGUGUAGGAUGAGCUCGCGGCCUAUCAGCUUGUUGGUGGGGUAAUGGCCUACCAAGGCGGCGACGGGUAGCCGGCCUGAGAGGGUGUACGGCCACAUUGGGACUGAGAUACGGCCCAGACUCCUACGGGAGGCAGCAGUGGGGAAUAUUGCACAAUGGGCGCAAGCCUGAUGCAGCGACGCCGCGUGGGGGAUGAAGGCCUUCGGGUUGUAAACUCCUUUCGCUAGGGACGAAGCUUUUUGUGACGGUACCUAGAUAAGAAGCACCGGCUAACUACGUGCCAGCAGCCGCGGUAAUACGUAGGGUGCGAGCGUUGUCCGGAAUUACUGGGCGUAAAGGGCUCGUAGGUGGUUUGUCGCGUCGUCUGUGAAAUUCUGGGGCUUAACUCCGGGCGUGCAGGCGAUACGGGCAUAACUUGAGUGCUGUAGGGGUAACUGGAAUUCCUGGUGUAGCGGUGAAAUGCGCAGAUAUCAGGAGGAACACCGAUGGCGAAGGCAGGUUACUGGGCAGUUACUGACGCUGAGGAGCGAAAGCAUGGGUAGCGAACAGGAU